UAUUACUAGGCGGAGGAAAAGAAACUAACAAAGAUUGACAUAGUAAGGGCGACUGAAAUGUCACCAGCUCAGCAUGUGAAUCAACGUUCACUUUUGUAAACGUUGAAUUGUGAUCUUACGGUUCUUGCACCAAUUGGACCAUGCCAUGUUGUUUGGAAUAAUAUAGCACAGAGGGUGAAACUCCUGUUUGCCUGGCCCAUUCGAGCAAAUACCAAUGAGUCGAGUUGUUUGGGAUUGCAGCUCAAAUACGGUGGUAAAUUUCAUCUACAGCUAAAUAUUGGUCGGAGACCGAUAGCGUACAAGUACCGUGAGGGAAAGAUGCAAAGAACUUUGAAAAGAGAGUGAAAAAGUACCUGAAAUUGCUGAAAAGGAAGCGAACAAAUCUAGUGUCAGCCAAGUCAUACUUUCCAUCUUGCUUGCAACUUGGACGCUGUGCCUAGCCAUGUUCAAUUGCAUCGCAACAGGUCAAAACAGGUACUGAAAAGAUUCCAUUUUCAUGGACCAAGCACACCUACUGCAAUCCAACUGAACCAAAUAGAUUUGUUUGCCCCGUCUAGAAACACGGACCAAGGAGUCUAACAUAUGUGCGAGUACGAGGGCAGCAUGCCUUGGUGCUAAAUGAAAGUGUCAGAGGCUGGAAUGAAGUACUUGUUGUACCCAUUGCACAGUCCGCCGGCCUCAAUCCUACGGGAAAAUGGUCUGAGUGUGAGCAUACAUGUUGGGACCCGAAAGAUGGUGAACUAUGCUUGAGUAGGGUGAAGCCAGGGGAAACUUUGGUGAAGGCUCGCAGCGAUUCUGACGUGCAAAUCGAUCGUCAAACUUGAGUAUAGGGGCGAAAGACUAAUCGAACUAUCUAGUAGCUGGUUCCCUCCGAAAUUUCCCUUAGGAUAGCUGCAAUCUUAUCACAGCCAGUUUUGUCA
Molecule: ribosomal RNA, 920 nt
Filed under: Pinnularia borealis complex sp.
Lineage: Eukaryota; Bacillariophyta; Bacillariophyceae; Sellaphorales; Pinnulariaceae
Description: partial 28S ribosomal RNA
Rfam family: Eukaryotic large subunit ribosomal RNA
Source: RNAcentral